RNAcentral lists this long non-coding RNA (1048 nucleotides) under Manacus vitellinus (golden-collared manakin). RNAcentral's name for it is "lncRNA (ENSMVIG00005003945.1)". Lineage: Eukaryota; Metazoa; Chordata; Aves; Passeriformes; Pipridae. The record is from RNAcentral.
CCCAGGAUCUGCAGGGACAACCCCAGGAUCCUCUGGGAGACCCCCAGGAUCCCCAAGGAGAUCCCUAGGCUCCUCUGGGAGACCCCCAGGAUCCCCAAGGAGAUCCCCAGGAUCCUCUGGGAGACCCCCAGGAUGCCCAGGGAGACCCCCAGGAUCCAAAGGGACACUCCAGGAUUCCCAGGGAGACCCCCAGGAUCCUCUGGCUCCCCCCCAUCCCGGCAUUCCCGGCUCCAGGGGGACCCUCGGCACCGUCUCCCUUUGCCCUGCUCCUCCUUUUCCUGCCUUGGAUUGCACUUUUCCCUGUUUUUUCCUGACUGUUCCAAGGGAUUCAGUCCCUGGGGGGGAGUUUGCUCCGGGCUGCCUGGAGCCACGGACCAUCCUCCUCCUCCUCCUCCUCUUCCAAAGGGAUACAACCACUGUUGUCCCGGCUCUGCCGCUCCCAGGGGGGCUUGGGAAGGCUCCGGGGGGGGGCUGCUGCUUCCCGCCCUGCCGGGAAAUCCCGGGAAAAGCCAGGGCUGGCGGCGCCGGGGGCUUUUCCCAGGGACACCAGGGAAGCUCCGGAGCCGCUUCCCGACAGCUCAGGUGUGUCCUGGAGCGCUGCUCCGGCCGGGAUCGUGGGGCCAGAUCCCAGGGAUGAGCUCUGGGCAUUCCCAGACAUCCCAGGGAUGAGCUCUGGGCAUUCCCAGAGAUCCCAGGGAGGCUCCGUGGGGCCGGAUCCCAGGGAUGAGUGCUCUGGGCAUUCCCAGAGAUCCCAGGGAGGCUCUGGGCAUUCCCAGACAUCCCAGGGAUGAGCUCUGGGCAUUCCCAGAGAUCCCAGGGAGGCUCCGGGGGCUCCAUGGGGCCGGAUCCCAGGGAUGAGCGCUCUGGGCAUUCCCAGGGAACCCCCGGGAUCCACAGGGAGACCCCCAGGAUCCACAGGGACAACCCCAGAGAUCCCAGGGAGGCUCUGGACGCUCCGUGGGGCCAGAUCCCAGGGAUGAGCACUCUGGGCAUUCUCAGGGAUCCCAGGGAGGCUCCGGGUGCUCCGUGGCUGGAGCUGAAUAAAGCG